RNAcentral lists this ribosomal RNA (505 nucleotides) under uncultured bacterium. Its description in RNAcentral is "bacterial SSU rRNA". It matches the Rfam family "Bacterial small subunit ribosomal RNA", at positions 29 to 507 of the family's 1533-position model. The record is from RNAcentral.
AGCGAACGCUGGCGGCGUGCCUAACACAUGCAAGUCGCGGGAGAGGAGGAGCUUCGCUCUCUUAGUAAACCGGCGCACGGGUGAGUAACACGUAGGUAACCUGCCCUCGAGCCCGGGAUAACCUAUCGAAAGAUGGGCUAAUACCGGAUAAGACCACGUCGGUCACGGCCGAUGGGGUAAAAGAUGGCCUCUGCAUGCAAGCUAUCACUCGUCGAUGGGCCUGCGCGCCAUUAGCUAGUUGGUGAGGUAACGGCUCACCAAGGCGACGAUGGCUAGUUGGUCUGAGAGGAUGACCAGCCACACUGGGACUGAGACACGGCCCAGACUCCUACGGGAGGCAGCAGUGGGGAAUAUUGCGCAAUGGGGGAAACCCUGACGCAGCGACGCCGCGUGGGUGAUGAAGGCCUUCGGGUCGUAAAGCCCUGUUGGAGGGGAAGAAUGGUCGUCGGGUAAACAAUCCGAUGGCUUGACGGUACCCUUAGAGGAAGCACCGGCUAACUCCGUG